This 430-nucleotide long non-coding RNA is filed under the name Homo sapiens (human). RNAcentral's name for it is "non-protein coding lnc-NWD2-2:5". The record is from RNAcentral. Lineage: Eukaryota; Metazoa; Chordata; Mammalia; Primates; Hominidae.
GGAGCCAACAGAGUGAGAUGAAGGGGACAACUUCAGAUACUCAGGCAGAAGCAUAAGUCCCCACCUGCUGACCUGCUGCCUGCUAUCUUAACACGAAUUCUUCAUCUGAAUGGAUGAGCUUUUCACAGAGUUCCAAACUAAGGAAUCCAGGAGUGGCCAAUCCAGAGAUUCAUUCCUUAUCUUUGACGAACAUCUGAACUCCUGGCUCAUCCUGUGGAAUUCAGGCCAUACAGGAGAUCAAGGUCAUUUGCUUUGGGUUAAAUGAAUGUUGCCAGGUGGAGGUUGCUAGAGGGAGAGUGCUAUGUGAAAGUGCUGUAUAAACUGCUUGCUUUUCACAAACAGUAGUGAUUCUUUAUCCUGUCCAGCCUGCCACAACUGGACCAUCCUGUAUGUAAGUCCCCUUAAUAAAUCCUGUGUCUCAUUCACUGGC